Molecule: long non-coding RNA, 775 nt
Filed under: Vulpes vulpes (red fox)
Lineage: Eukaryota; Metazoa; Chordata; Mammalia; Carnivora; Canidae
Description: lncRNA (ENSVVUG00000004487.1)
Source: RNAcentral
GCAGGUUUUCACUUAACAUAUUAAUUCCAGAGAAAUAAGAAAAAAGCUAUGUGAGAUUUCAUUAAAACUUGGCUUUAUUCCUAGUUUCAGGGGCUUGUGAAUGACCUGCAAGAUCACCUCCUUCAACCUCUGCCUCUAAAUCUUGUGGAGUCUAUAUAAUUUUAAAAAGAGCAUUUCUGCUAUUCUUAAAUUCCACAAUUUACCUUGGUAACCUAAAUCUCUGUAAGUCCACAGUGUCUACACUAAAACAUAUCUUUCCAUCCAAUUUAAACUUCUUCCAUUCUCAUGUGGUAAUUCCAAUCUAGAACUUUGUGUCCUGUCUCCAUUGGAGAUGAAGCUCAGAUGGCCAGCCACCCCUGUGCCAAGAAUCCAGGCUUUCUGAAUGCAAAAGUCAGAAAGGGUGCAGCGAUGUUUUCAGGAGACUUCUAAGACAAAAAUCUUUGAGGUUGAUUGCUAGGAAGCUUGGAGCUGCUUCUGAGGAUGUUCAGCAAGUUACAUCAGCAGAAUGCCCCUAAACCAUGACAACAUCCUUAUGUGUGGACUGGGAUGAGUUUUAUGAGUUACAACAAGCACGUAUGGAUAUAAUGAUGGUGUCUUUUAUGAUUCACCCUGACCAUUCCUUUGUGACUCCUCCCCUCAAAAACAUUCAGCGACUCAGAGUGGCAUUCCUAACAUCUUUGACACCUUGACUGGGUCAUUUAUUAUAACACCCUUUCCCCCCAGCCCUGCCAUGUGAUAAAAUUGUUUUCAUGUAAUAAAUAACAAGCAACAUAAU